GGCGGACGGGUGAGUAAUGCAUAGGAAUCUGCCCGAUAGUGGGGGAUAACCUGGGGAAACCCAGGCUAAUACCGCAUACGUCCUACGGGAGAAAGGGGGCUUCGGCUCCCGCUAUCGGAUGAGCCUAUGUCGGAUUAGCUGGUUGGUGAGGUAAUGGCUCACCAAGGCGACGAUCCGUAGCUGGUCUGAGAGGAUGAUCAGCCACAUCGGGACUGAGACACGGCCCGAACUCCUACGGGAGGCAGCAGUGGGGAAUAUUGGACAAUGGGGGCAACCCUGAUCCAGCCAUGCCGCGUGUGUGAAGAAGGCCCUCGGGUUGUAAAGCACUUUCAGUGAGGAAGAACGCCUGGUGGUUAAUACCCAUCAGGAAAGACAUCACUCACAGAAGAAGCACCGGCUAACUCCGUGCCAGCAGCCGCGGUAAUACGGAGGGUGCGAGCGUUAAUCGGAAUUACUGGGCGUAAAGCGCGCGUAGGUGGCUUGAUAAGCCGGUUGUGAAAGCCCCGGGCUCAACCUGGGAACGGCAUCCGGAACUGUCAAGCUAGAGUGCAGGAGAGGAAGGUAGAAUUCCCGGUGUAGCGGUGAAAUGCGUAGAGAUCGGGAGGAAUACCAGUGGCGAAGGCGGCCUUCUGGACUGACACUGACACUGAGGUGCGAAAGCGUGGGUAGCAAACAGGAUUAGAUACCCUGGUAGUCCACGCCGUAAACGAUGUCGACCAGCCGUUGGGUGCCUAGCGCACUUUGUGGCGAAGUUAACGCGAUAAGUCGACCGCCUGGGGAGUACGGCCGCAAGGUUAAAACUCAAAUGAAUUGACGGGGGCCCGCACAAGCGGUGGAGCAUGUGGUUUAAUUCGAUGCAACGCGAAGAACCUUACCUACUCUUGACAUCCUGCGAACUUGUGAGAGAUCACUUGGUGCCUUCGGGAACGCAGAGACAGGUGCUGCAUGGCUGUCGUCAGCUCGUGUUGUGAAAUGUUGGGUUAAGUCCCGUAACGAGCGCAACCCUUGUCCUUAUUUGCCAGCGCGUAAAGGCGGGAACUCUAAGGAGACUGCCGGUGACAAACCGGAGGAAGGUGGGGACGACGUCAAGUCAUCAUGGCCCUUACGAGUAGGGCUACACACGUGCUACAAUGGUCGGUACAAAGGGUUGCCAACUCGCGAGAGUGAGCCAAUCCCGAAAAGCCGAUCUCAGUCCGGAUCGGAGUCUGCAACUCGACUCCGUGAAGUCGGAAUCGCUAGUAAU
Molecule: ribosomal RNA, 1243 nt
Filed under: Halomonas sp. ASB2
Lineage: Bacteria; Pseudomonadati; Pseudomonadota; Gammaproteobacteria; Oceanospirillales; Halomonadaceae
Description: bacterial SSU rRNA
Rfam family: Bacterial small subunit ribosomal RNA
Source: RNAcentral